GGGGUUGUGGCUCAGUGGUAAAGUGCUCACCUAGCAAGUGUGAGGCAUUGCAAUCGAUCCUC
Molecule: transfer RNA, 62 nt
Filed under: Ictidomys tridecemlineatus (thirteen-lined ground squirrel)
Lineage: Eukaryota; Metazoa; Chordata; Mammalia; Rodentia; Sciuridae
Description: Spermophilus tridecemlineatus (thirteen-lined ground squirrel) tRNA
Rfam family: tRNA
About the family: Transfer RNA (tRNA) molecules are approximately 80 nucleotides in length. Their secondary structure includes four short double-helical elements and three loops (D, anti-codon, and T loops).
Source: Rfam by way of RNAcentral